UACAGAGGGUGCGAGCGUUAAUCGGAAUUACUGGGCGUAAAGCGUGCGUAGACGGUUAUUUAAGUCGGGUGUGAAAGCCCCGGGCUCAACCUGGGAAUUGCAUUCGAGACUGAAUAGCUAGGGUACGGUAGAGGGAAGUGGAAUUUCCGGUGUAGCGGUGAAAUGCGUAGAUAUCUGGAGGAACACCGGUGGCGAAGGCGGCAUCCUGGACCGGUAUUGACGCUGAGGUGCGAAAGCGUGGGGAGCAAACAGG
This 253-nucleotide ribosomal RNA is filed under the name uncultured bacterium. RNAcentral describes it as "partial 16S ribosomal RNA". It matches the Rfam family "Bacterial small subunit ribosomal RNA", at positions 524 to 776 of the family's 1533-position model. The record is from RNAcentral.